UACAGAGGUCCCGAGCGUUGUUCGGAUUUACUGGGCGUAAAGGGCGCGUAGGCGGCCACCGCAAGUCGACUGUGAAAUCUCCGGGCUUAACCCGGAAAGGUCAGCCGAUACUGCGGGGCUAGAGUGCAGAAGGGGCAACUGGAAUUCUCGGUGUAGCGGUGAAAUGCGUAGAUAUCGAGAGGAACACCUGCGGCGAAGGCGGGUUGCUGGGCUGACACUGACGCUGAGGCGCGAAAGCUAGGGGAGCGAACGGG
RNAcentral lists this ribosomal RNA (254 nucleotides) under uncultured bacterium. RNAcentral describes it as "partial 16S ribosomal RNA". It matches the Rfam family "Bacterial small subunit ribosomal RNA", at positions 524 to 776 of the family's 1533-position model. The record is from RNAcentral.